Molecule: long non-coding RNA, 2815 nt
Organism: Bactrocera neohumeralis
Lineage: Eukaryota; Metazoa; Arthropoda; Insecta; Diptera; Tephritidae
Exons: 4
Source: RefSeq, a predicted model, not a curated record
AAUCAGAAGAAUUUUAGACCGAUCCGGACCCCAAUAUCUAGAUUGAGACUUACGAUAAGCGAGUAUUUGAAUGUGAUUCGAAGGUGGAGACUUCCGCGAUGAGAUAAUAAAUCACUAAAAGGAAUAACGGCUAUGAGCUCCAAAACAUGAAGAUUUUUCCAUAAGAAAAGGCAGAACCGGUUUGUCCAACAAUGCUUUUGUGUUGGGUUAAGAAACCCGUACGACUCGAACUAGUUUGCAUUCCAUGUAGGGCGAAUUUUUUUCUUUUCUUGUUUUUCAUUUCCACUCCACUUACUUAACCUUUAUCCUCUAUAUUUGAUCAAGCGACUUUUUUAAGUUACCCCAAAUAAAUAUAUUGAAAAAUCUGUUAAUACAAGUUUAUAUAUCAAUAGAUUUAAGAUGGUUGGAUGAUGCUUUAAUUGGAAUAUUAACUGAGCUGUGACUGUGUUUUAUCUAUCGUUUGCUCAAAGUCCGAUAGCUCUUCUGAACUGCUGGGCAUGUCAGCUAAAUUUAACACUGUUCCAAUUAUGUUUUUUUCAUUAGAUUAAAGCGGAUUACGUCAGAUUUGUCAGAGUGUUUGAAUGCUGUGUUAAUUACCCAACAGUUUGUUGUUAACCAAUAAAGGUGCUUGCAAAUGGCAAUAAAAGUGGCUAGCGAUUAACUAGAACAACAGCCUAUAAUUUAUAUAUACAUCUCUGUGUCGACGUAAUCUUCACAGCUUUUGUACGAUAAAAUGUUUGUCAUCAGUUUACAAAAUAAGCACAUAAAGUAAUGAGUAAUUGCUUCCAAGAAUUUACAGCGAACAAUCGUGCAUAUAUGUAUAAUAUAAUAUACUAUAUGUGUAUACAUAUAUAUGCGAUGUUUUAUAGAAAACUAUUUUUUCCAUAUUUUCAGGUCUACGGAAGAGCGCGCCUUCAGCAAUCAAGAUAAUCAAACGAGUGUUAAAGAUAUUCAUUCAUUUACUCCCUCGUGAGAGAAUUUCCGCGAUGGACUGAAAACCAUGUGAAACGUGCCUACGCAUUGAAUUAAGUUGCAUAGCAACUCAUUCGUACAACAUGUACAUUGAGCGUAUAUGAUAUAUACAAGCUUCCAUUAAUUCCUUCAAUCCAAACGUUAUAAGAAAUCCGCGAUAAUAUGCUGUACGCAUGCUUACAACGGAAAAUUUAAUUAGAGCAUUAUUGAAAUCAAGCGCUCUGUUGAGUUUAUAUGCUCUGCUUGAACUGAACGAAUAAUUUGUUGGUCUAUGUUCCAUUUUCCAAAUCCCUAAUAUUCGUAGUUACUAAAAAAUGGCAACUUUGAAUCAGCGUUGGUAAUGGCAACUCUUUUACAAACUGAGACAUUGUUAUAAUUAAUUUAAGACAGGCUUUUUAGUAGCACUUAUGUUGAUAGACAUCAAAAAUGGUAUACGUCAGUUUUUAACAAAAAAAAAAAUUUGAAAGCUUUCGGAAGUAUUUUGAGGACAUCCACCUAAAGAUGACUGACAAGUUCGUGAACUUAAAAGGCGCCCAAAGAAAAAUCAGAUUGUACAAGAAAAAAGCACAAAUAAACUGAAGAAAAAGAAACAACAAAAAAAUAAUUGUAAUCAAAACAAUGAAGAAACAGAUGUAUACCUAGUAAAAAAAAAAAAAAUAAAAAAGAAGCGAUAUUCAGCACAAAGGAUUACAGGAAAGGAAUUGAAUUGAUGAAAAAGCAAUAGUUAACGGAAUGAAAACAUUAUAAAACAUCAAAAGUGAAUUUGUGCAAAUAAUUACAAUAAAGAUCAAAAUAAAAAGGAAACAUAUAACGACGUUUAGAAUAGAAAUUUUGUAGGUGGUUUUUGAACAUGUGAACGUUUAAAAUUUUGUAUUUUAAAGCACAGAUAUGUCUUAUACCCAACUACAAUGACUCCAGUCUACAGUCACCUUGAUUUUAAGUAGUCUUCUCCCAAAUGCUUUACAGUCUCCAGACCAGCUUUUAAUAACAUCCGACAACACCGGAAGGUCUAUGAACAACGUGAGAUGUGGAUGGUUGUUGUGUAAGCGCUUGCAAUAUUUUGGCUACCAGUAAAUAUGAAUAACCUUUCACAAGCAACAAAGUGUAAAAGGAAUAACACAGCCAAGUGACCCGAAGAAAUACCACAAAGUGGCAAAUAAACUGUGAAAAAUUGGAAAAAGAACGGACAGCUAAAUCCCAGAAAAAAAUUUGAAUGGAAAAAGGCUCGACACAGAUUUACAAAAAGUAUCAAUUAUCGGUUAUAGAAGCAAAACGGAAUUGAAAUUUAAUUCGCAAGUACCAUAUACUCAUACGGCUAAAUAGAAUAUGUAACAACCAAACCAAACUUCUGCCGGAGGUAAAAAGAGCCAACCAUAGUCAUGUCUAUGGUUUAUUUGGACUCUUGCAGCAUCGUUUAUACCAGCCCUGAACAAUGCCAAUCAAUUUAACGGAUUGGUGCAGCAUAGUCAACCCUCAACCACGUGAAACGUUGAAUUCAUAGAUUCUUUCCAGCUAACUGAAGUGUGAUUACUACGACUGAUUGGAUUUCUGAUACUGAUACGGUUGAUAAAAUUUGAAUACAUACACUUGAAGGCAUAACUACAUUGGCAGUCUUAAUCUUGGCUAACAAAACAUAUUGAAUCAUAUUGUAUCAUAUCGUAAAGAUUCGUAUAUUAUGUAAUACAUAUUCUUAAUGAGUAUAUUUAUGCAAAAAAUAAUAAGCGAAUCACCUUGCAGCCAGGUUACAGCGAAAUAGAUUGAGACAUUUAUAUGCUAAUUUAAAUUUCGCUUUCUGGGAGUGACUUAAAAUUUAUACUUAUUAAAAUAAAAUUGAAAAUCUGAA